Molecule: non-coding RNA, 284 nt
Organism: Cinara cedri
Lineage: Eukaryota; Metazoa; Arthropoda; Insecta; Hemiptera; Aphididae
Source: the annotation of a GenBank genome assembly
AUUUUUUUUAUAAGAAUUUAAGUAUACAAUUUUGGCGAAAAUUGUUUUAGUAAAAAAUGAUUUGGAACAAAUCUAGUUACUGGUCCACACAAACUGUUUCAAUAUAAUAUUUAUUUUACUAUAAUAUGAUAUGUAUAUUUUUGAAAAACCAAUACCUACUAUUAACCGAGCUCCGCUCAGAAUCGUUUGUUGUUAGCAAUGAUUAAUUUUUGCUUACAGACAUACAUUAAAUUUCCCUCUAUAUCCUACCUUCCCAACUUUUCAUCUACAAUAGUGGUUUAUCC